UUAUUAAUGUUUUAGAAUAGCUGUUAUUGGGCAAGGCUUACCCAUUGCAUUCCAGGAUGUGCUGACCCCUGGGAUUUCCCCAAAUGUGGGAAACUCGGCUGCAUAAUUUGUGGUAGUGGGGGACUGUGUUCACGCUCUCCCCUA
This 144-nucleotide small nuclear RNA is filed under the name Echinops telfairi (small Madagascar hedgehog). Its description in RNAcentral is "U1 spliceosomal RNA (ENSETEG00000022494.1)". It matches the Rfam family "U1 spliceosomal RNA". From Rfam's summary of the family: U1 is a small nuclear RNA (snRNA) component of the spliceosome (involved in pre-mRNA splicing). Its 5' end forms complementary base pairs with the 5' splice junction, thus defining the 5' donor site of an intron. Lineage: Eukaryota; Metazoa; Chordata; Mammalia; Afrosoricida; Tenrecidae. The record is from RNAcentral.